This 2918-nucleotide ribosomal RNA is filed under the name Klebsiella pneumoniae. RNAcentral's name for it is "bacterial LSU rRNA". It matches the Rfam family "Bacterial large subunit ribosomal RNA". Lineage: Bacteria; Pseudomonadati; Pseudomonadota; Gammaproteobacteria; Enterobacterales; Enterobacteriaceae. The record is from RNAcentral.
UUAAGCGACUAAGCGUACACGGUGGAUGCCCUGGCAGUCAGAGGCGAUGAAGGACGUGCUAAUCUGCGAAAAGCGUCGGUAAGGUGAUAUGAACCGUUAUAACCGGCGAUGUCCGAAUGGGGAAACCCAGUGCAAUUCGUUGCACUAUCGUUAACUGAAUACAUAGGUUAACGAGGCGAACCGGGGGAACUGAAACAUCUAAGUACCCCGAGGAAAAGAAAUCAACCGAGAUUCCCCCAGUAGCGGCGAGCGAACGGGGAGCAGCCCAGAGUCUGAAUCAGCUUGUGUGUUAGUGGAACGGUCUGGAAAGUCCGACGGUACAGGGUGAUAGUCCCGUACACCAAAAUGCACAGGCUGUGAACUCGAAGAGUAGGGCGGGACACGUGGUAUCCUGUCUGAAUAUGGGGGGACCAUCCUCCAAGGCUAAAUACUCCUGACUGACCGAUAGUGAACCAGUACCGUGAGGGAAAGGCGAAAAGAACCCCGGCGAGGGGAGUGAAAAAGAACCUGAAACCGUGUACGUACAAGCAGUGGGAGCACCUUCGGGUGUGACUGCGUACCUUUUGUAUAAUGGGUCAGCGACUUAUAUUCUGUAGCAAGGUUAACCGUAUAGGGGAGCCGCAGGGAAACCGAGUCUUAACUGGGCGUUAAGUUGCAGGGUAUAGACCCGAAACCCGGUGAUCUAGCCAUGGGCAGGUUGAAGGUUGGGUAACACUAACUGGAGGACCGAACCGACUAAUGUUGAAAAAUUAGCGGAUGACUUGUGGCUGGGGGUGAAAGGCCAAUCAAACCGGGAGAUAGCUGGUUCUCCCCGAAAGCUAUUUAGGUAGCGCCUCGUGAACUCAUCUUCGGGGGUAGAGCACUGUUUCGGCUAGGGGGUCAUCCCGACUUACCAACCCGAUGCAAACUACGAAUACCGAAGAAUGUUAUCACGGGAGACACACGGCGGGUGCUAACGUCCGUCGUGAAGAGGGAAACAACCCAGACCGCCAGCUAAGGUCCCAAAGUCAUGGUUAAGUGGGAAACGAUGUGGGAAGGCACAGACAGCCAGGAUGUUGGCUUAGAAGCAGCCAUCAUUUAAAGAAAGCGUAAUAGCUCACUGGUCGAGUCGGCCUGCGCGGAAGAUGUAACGGGGCUAAACCAUGCACCGAAGCUGCGGCAGCGACACUAUGUGUUGUUGGGUAGGGGAGCGUUCUGUAAGCCUGCGAAGGUGNNNNNNNNNNNNNNNNNNNNNNNNNNNNNNUGCUGGAGGUAUCAGAAGUGCGAAUGCUGACAUAAGUAACGAUAAAGCGGGUGAAAAGCCCGCUCGCCGGAAGACCAAGGGUUCCUGUCCAACGUUAAUCGGGGCAGGGUGAGUCGACCCCUAAGGCGAGGCCGAAAGGCGUAGUCGAUGGGAAACAGGUUAAUAUUCCUGUACUUGGUGUUACUGCGAAGGGGGGACGGAGAAGGCUAUGUUAGCCGGGCGACGGUUGUCCCGGUUUAAGCAUGUAGGCUGGUUGUCCAGGCAAAUCCGGAUAAUCAAGGCUGAGGUGUGAUGACGAGGCACUACGGUGCUGAAGUAACAAAUGCCCUGCUUCCAGGAAAAGCCUCUAAGCAUCAGGUAACAUUAAAUCGUACCCCAAACCGACACAGGUGGUCAGGUAGAGAAUACCAAGGCGCUUGAGAGAACUCGGGUGAAGGAACUAGGCAAAAUGGUGCCGUAACUUCGGGAGAAGGCACGCUGGUGUGUAGGUGAAGUCCCUGCGGAUGGAGCUGAGACCAGUCGAAGAUACCAGCUGGCUGCAACUGUUUAUUAAAAACACAGCACUGUGCAAACACGAAAGUGGACGUAUACGGUGUGACGCCUGCCCGGUGCCGGAAGGUUAAUUGAUGGGGUUAUCCGUAAGGAGAAGCUCUUGAUCGAAGCCCCGGUAAACGGCGGCCGUAACUAUAACGGUCCUAAGGUAGCGAAAUUCCUUGUCGGGUAAGUUCCGACCUGCACGAAUGGCGUAAUGAUGGCCAGGCUGUCUCCACCCGAGACUCAGUGAAAUUGAACUCGCUGUGAAGAUGCAGUGUACCCGCGGCAAGACGGAAAGACCCCGUGAACCUUUACUAUAGCUUGACACUGAACAUUGAGCCUUGAUGUGUAGGAUAGGUGGGAGGCUUUGAAGCGUGGACGCCAGUCUGCGUGGAGCCAACCUUGAAAUACCACCCUUUAAUGUUUGAUGUUCUAACGUUGGCCCCUUACCGGGGUUGCGGACAGUGUCUGGUGGGUAGUUUGACUGGGGCGGUCUCCUCCCAAAGCGUAACGGAGGAGCACGAAGGUUAGCUAAUCCUGGUCGGACAUCAGGAGGUUAGUGCAAUGGCAUAAGCUAGCUUGACUGCGAGCGUGACGGCGCGAGCAGGUGCGAAAGCAGGUCAUAGUGAUCCGGUGGUUCUGAAUGGAAGGGCCAUCGCUCAACGGAUAAAAGGUACUCCGGGGAUAACAGGCUGAUACCGCCCAAGAGUUCAUAUCGACGGCGGUGUUUGGCACCUCGAUGUCGGCUCAUCACAUCCUGGGGCUGAAGUAGGUCCCAAGGGUAUGGCUGUUCGCCAUUUAAAGUGGUACGCGAGCUGGGUUUAGAACGUCGUGAGACAGUUCGGUCCCUAUCUGCCGUGGGCGCUGGAGAAUUGAGGGGGGCUGCUCCUAGUACGAGAGGACCGGAGUGGACGCAUCACUGGUGUUCGGGUUGUCAUGCCAAUGGCACUGCCCGGUAGCUAAAUGCGGAAGAGAUAAGUGCUGAAAGCAUCUAAGCACGAAACUUGCCCCGAGAUGAGUUCUCCCUGAGACUUUAAGUCUCCUGAAGGAACGUUAAAGACGAUGACGUUGAUAGGCCGGGUGUGUAAGCGCAGCGAUGCGUUGAGCUAACCGGUACUAAUGAACCGUGAGGCUUAACCUU